GGACUACUCGGGUAUCUAAUCCUGUUUGAUCCCCACGCUUUCGUGCCUCAGCGUCAAUCAUACUUUAGUAAGCUGCCUUCGCAAUCGGAGUUCUGUGACAUAUCUAUGCAUUUCACCGCUACUUGUCACAUUCCGCCUACUUCAAGUACAUUCAAGCCCGGCAGUAUCAAAGGCACUGCGACAGUUAAGCUGCCGUCUUUCACCCCUGACUUACCAGGCCGCCUACGCACCCUUUAAACCCAAUAAAUCCGGAUAACGCUCGGAUCCUCCGUAUUACCGCGGCGGCUGGCAC
This 292-nucleotide ribosomal RNA is filed under the name uncultured Bacteroidota bacterium. RNAcentral's name for it is "uncultured Bacteroidetes bacterium partial 16S ribosomal RNA". The record is from RNAcentral. Lineage: Bacteria; Pseudomonadati; Bacteroidota.